CACGGGGGGAGCAAGCGUUGUUCGGAAUCACUGGGCGUAAAGGGCGUGUAGGCGGUCAGGUAAGUGGGAUGUGAAAUGCCCCGGCUCACCCGGGGACCGGCAUCCCAUACUGCUUGGCUUGAGUACGGGAGAGGAUGUGGGAAUUCCUGGUGUAGCGGUGAAAUGCGUAGAGAUCGGAAAGAACACCAACGGCGAAAGCACUCUGCUGGGCCGACACUGACACUGAGAGACGAAAGCUAGGGGAGCGAAUGGG
RNAcentral lists this ribosomal RNA (253 nucleotides) under uncultured bacterium. Its description in RNAcentral is "partial 16S ribosomal RNA". It matches the Rfam family "Bacterial small subunit ribosomal RNA", at positions 524 to 776 of the family's 1533-position model. The record is from RNAcentral.